GAUGAACGCUGGCGGCGUGCCUAAUACAUGCAAGUCGAGCGAACAGACGAGGAGCUUGCUCCUCUGACGUUAGCGGCGGACGGGUGAGUAACACGUGGAUAACCUACCUAUAAGACUGGGAUAACUUCGGGAAACCGGAGCUAAUACCGGAUAAUAUAUUGAACCGCAUGGUUCAAUAGUGAAAGACGGUUUUGCUGUCACUUAUAGAUGGAUCCGCGCCGCAUUAGCUAGUGGGUAAGGUAACGGCUUACCAAGGCGAGGAUGCUUAGCCGACCUGGGAGGGAUAUCGGCCACACUGGAACUAAGACACGGUCCAGACUCCUGCGGGAGGGACCGGUAGGGAAUCUUACGCAAUGGGCGAAAGCCUGACGGAGCAACGCCGCGUGAGUGAUGAAGGUCUUCGGAUCGUAAAACUCUGUUAUUAGGUAAGAACAAAUGUGUAAGUAACUAUGCACGUCUUGACGGUACCUAAUCAGAAAGCCACGGCUAACUACGUG
RNAcentral lists this ribosomal RNA (497 nucleotides) under uncultured bacterium. Its description in RNAcentral is "partial 16S ribosomal RNA". It matches the Rfam family "Bacterial small subunit ribosomal RNA", at positions 28 to 507 of the family's 1533-position model. The record is from RNAcentral.